AUAUAUAUAUAUAUAUAUAUAUAUAUAUAUAUAAUCCAUAAUAUGAUUCUUUAUAUAUGUUCAUAUUUGAUACCAAGGUUACUUUCAACAAGAUGACCUCCAACAGUAGCUAAUAGAUGGCCUCCAGAUCCUGUAGAAACACCAAAAGCAUGACUUGUAGCCAUCCUGUUCAUCAAAAAAAGGGGUAGAUAAUGAACAGUUGGUAGACUAAGAAACAAUGGUUGAUAUUUAUAAAAAUUCUUAUACUCAUGUCAUUCUUGAAUUGAUUUUCUCUAUUUUGUUAUUCAUUUAAGGUCUUUGUAAUGUUUUUCGUCUCUGUUCCAACUACAACUAUAUAAGAACUCAUAUGCAAUAUAGCUUAAUAGAUUAAGUCAUGUCUCAUGUUCCUGGCUAUUAAUAAUUACUUACUUGAUACAUACAGGUAAUGGUGAUGGAAUUGGGAAGACACAAAAUAAGGGUAAACUCCAUAUCUCCAGGGAUUUUCAAGUCCGACCCUAUUGAGCAACUUUUGCAAAAUAAAUGGCUUAAAAAUGUGGUUUCCAAGGUCAUGCCAUUGAGAGAAUUGGCUGUUAUCGAAGGGUGCAAUCGAACAGCUGGAAUCAGAGCUUAGAUGAUCUACUUCCAAUUCAAAUCUCUCCUCCAUGUAAUAGGUGAGUAUAAAGAAAACAUGAUUGCUGAUGUGGAUGGAUGCCAGUGGUAGGCCAGUCAUAAGGUACCUCGGUGGAUCAUGGGAAAGCGAAAGCGUGAUCAUGCACCUCCUCAUAUUUUGAUUUUACAAUUUUGGGAUUUCUCUGAUGUGGAACUUAUUUUGAAAACAAGUUGUAAUAAAUGAUGGUUUUGUGGUUGUUUAAAAAGUUUGAAAUUUUCAAGAAAUUUACGAUUGUUACAUUUCACUUUCUUGAAAUGAUAAUAAACUUUUUGUUAUUCAA
Molecule: long non-coding RNA, 929 nt
Organism: Lactuca sativa (garden lettuce)
Lineage: Eukaryota; Viridiplantae; Streptophyta; Magnoliopsida; Asterales; Asteraceae
Source: RefSeq, a predicted model, not a curated record